ACAAACAAAAGAAAAUCUUAAAAGUAAAACAAACCCAUUCAUCAUUCUUUCCAUUCAUUCACUCACAAUUCACUUCGCAUUUCCAACAAACCCUUCAACCCAAAUCCAAUACCAACAUCACUCUUCUUAUUCUCUUCCAUCAUUCAACCUUUUUUUCUCUAUAAAAUCCCUCACCCUUUCACCCAAUAUCAUACACAACACACCUAUCAUAUAGGUUGGUUGAAUGUUGUGAACAUACAAAAAAUGGGUUCAUGCCGUGUUUUUAUGAUCCAAGUCUUCAUACUGGUUUGUCUUUUGGUUCAAUGCUUUGAUGCCAAAGUGCAUGCUGAUCUUAAUGCUGCAACACUUGUUGUAGAUGCUUCUCAGGCUUCUGGUAGGAGAAUACCAGAUACUCUUUUUGGAUUAUUCUUUGAGGAAAUCAAUCAUGCU
Lathyrus oleraceus (garden pea) is the source of this 429-nucleotide long non-coding RNA. RefSeq lists it as uncharacterized. The record is from RefSeq and is a predicted model, not a curated record. The transcript is spliced from 3 exons. Lineage: Eukaryota; Viridiplantae; Streptophyta; Magnoliopsida; Fabales; Fabaceae.